GGCUUCGUAGCUCAGCUGAGUGUGGGUAUGCUGUUUCUGUCGCUGGUUCGAAUCCAGCUGAAGCCC
This is a non-coding RNA of Paragonimus skrjabini miyazakii, 66 nucleotides long. The record is from the annotation of a GenBank genome assembly. Lineage: Eukaryota; Metazoa; Platyhelminthes; Trematoda; Plagiorchiida; Troglotrematidae.